This 507-nucleotide ribosomal RNA is filed under the name uncultured Glomus. RNAcentral describes it as "SSU rRNA". It matches the Rfam family "Eukaryotic small subunit ribosomal RNA", at positions 569 to 1078 of the family's 1831-position model. Lineage: Eukaryota; Fungi; Glomeromycota; Glomeromycetes; Glomerales; Glomeraceae. The record is from RNAcentral.
AGCAGCCGCGGUAAUUCCAGCUCCAAUAGCGUAUAUUAAAGUUGUUGCAGUUAAAAAGCUCGUAGUUGAAUUUCGGGAUUAGUACGUUGGUCGUGCCUUAGGUACGUACUGGUGUUACUGGUUCCUACCUUCUGACGAACCAUCAUGUCAUUAAUUUGGUGUGGCGGGGAAUCAGGACUGUUACUUUGAAAAAAUUAGAGUGUUUAAAGCAGGCUCGCGCUUGAAUACAUUAGCAUGGAAUAAUGAAAUAGGACGUUGAUCCUAUUUUGUUGGUUUCUAGGAUUGACGUAAUGAUUAAUAGGGAUAGUUGGGGGCAUUAGUAUUCAAUUGUCAGAGGUGAAAUUCUUGGAUUUAUUGAAGACUAACUACUGCGAAAGCAUUUGCCAAGGAUGUUUUCAUUAAUCAAGAACGAAAGUUAGGGGAUCGAAGACGAUCAGAUACCGUCGUAGUCUUGACCAUAAACUAUGCCGACUAGGGAUCGGAUGAUGUUAAUUUUUUAAUGACUCA